CACGUAGGGGGCAAGCGUUGUCCGGAUUUAUUGGGCGUAAAGAGCUCGUAGGUGGUUCGGUAAGUCAGGUGUGAAACCUCCAGGCUCAACCUGGAGACGCCACUUGAUACUGCUGUGACUGGAGUCCGGUAGGGGAGCGUGGAAUUCCUGGUGUAGCGGUGAAAUGCGCAGAUAUCAGGAGGAACACCAGCGGCGAAGGCGGCGCUCUGGGCCGGUACUGACACUGAGGAGCGAAAGCCAGGGGAGCAAACGGG
Molecule: ribosomal RNA, 254 nt
Filed under: uncultured bacterium
Lineage: Bacteria
Description: partial 16S ribosomal RNA
Rfam family: Bacterial small subunit ribosomal RNA
Source: RNAcentral